UAAGCGACUAAGCGUACACGGUGGAUGCCCUGGCAGUCAGAGGCGAUGAAGGACGUGCUAAUCUGCGAUAAGCGUCGGUAAGGUGAUAUGAACCGUUAUAACCGGCGAUUUCCGAAUGGGGAAACCCAGUGUGUUUCGACACACUAUCAUUAACUGAAUCCAUAGGUUAAUGAGGCGAACCGGGGGAACUGAAACAUCUAAGUACCCCGAGGAAAAGAAAUCAACCGAGAUUCCCCCAGUAGCGGCGAGCGAACGGGGAGGAGCCCAGAGCCUGAAUCAGUGUGUGUGUUAGUGGAAGCGUCUGGAAAGGCGCGCGAUACAGGGUGACAGCCCCGUACACAAAAAUGCACAUGCUGUGAGCUCGAUGAGUAGGGCGGGACACGUGGUAUCCUGUCUGAAUAUGGGGGGACCAUCCUCCAAGGCUAAAUACUCCUGACUGACCGAUAGUGAACCAGUACCGUGAGGGAAAGGCGAAAAGAACCCCGGCGAGGGGAGUGAAAAAGAACCUGAAACCGUGUACGUACAAGCAGUGGGAGCACAGAGCAAUCUGUGUGACUACGUACCUUUUGUAUAAUGGGUCAGCGACUUAUAUUCUGUAGCAAGGUUAACCGAAUAGGGGAGCCGAAGGGAAACCGAGUCUUAACUGGGCGUUAAGUUGCAGGGUAUAGACCCGAAACCCGGUGAUCUAGCCAUGGGCAGGUUGAAGGUUGGGUAACACUAACUGGAGGACCGAACCGACUAAUGUUGAAAAAUUAGCGGAUGACUUGUGGCUGGGGGUGAAAGGCCAAUCAAACCGGGAGAUAGCUGGUUCUCCCCGAAAGCUAUUUAGGUAGCGCCUCGUGAAUUCAUCUCCGGGGGUAGAGCACUGUUUCGGCAAGGGGGUCAUCCCGACUUACCAACCCGAUGCAAACUGCGAAUACCGGAGAAUGUUAUCACGGGAGACACACGGCGGGUGCUAACGUCCGUCGUGAAGAGGGAAACAACCCAGACCGCCAGCUAAGGUCCCAAAGUCAUGGUUAAGUGGGAAACGAUGUGGGAAGGCCCAGACAGCCAGGAUGUUGGCUUAGAAGCAGCCAUCAUUUAAAGAAAGCGUAAUAGCUCACUGGUCGAGUCGGCCUGCGCGGAAGAUGUAACGGGGCUAAACCAUGCACCGAAGCUGCGGCAGCGACACUGUGUGUUGUUGGGUAGGGGAGCGUUCUGUAAGCCUGUGAAGGUGUACUGUAAGGUAUGCUGGAGGUAUCAGAAGUGCGAAUGCUGACAUAAGUAACGAUAAAGCGGGUGAAAAGCCCGCUCGCCGGAAGACCAAGGGUUCCUGUCCAACGUUAAUCGGGGCAGGGUGAGUCGACCCCUAAGGCGAGGCCGAAAGGCGUAGUCGAUGGGAAACAGGUUAAUAUUCCUGUACUUGGUGUUACUGCGAAGGGGGGACGGAGAAGGCUAUGUUGGCCGGGCGACGGUUGUCCCGGUUUAAGCGUGUAGGCUGGUUUUCCAGGCAAAUCCGGAAAAUCAAGGCUGAGGCGUGAUGACGAGGCACUACGGUGCUGAAGCAACAAAUGCCCUGCUUCCAGGAAAAGCCUCUAAGCAUCAGGUAACAUCAAAUCGUACCCCAAACCGACACAGGUGGUCAGGUAGAGAAUACCAAGGCGUUUGAGAGAACUCGGGUGAAGGAACUAGGCAAAAUGGUGCCGUAACUUCGGGAGAAGGCACGCUGAUAUGUAGGUGAAGUCCCUCGCGGAUGGAGCUGAAAUCAGUCGAAGAUACCAGCUGGCUGCAACUGUUUAUUAAAAACACAGCACUGUGCAAACACGAAAGUGGACGUAUACGGUGUGACGCCUGCCCGGUGCCGGAAGGUUAAUUGAUGGGGUCAGCGCAAGCGAAGCUCUUGAUCGAAGCCCCGGUAAACGGCGGCCGUAACUAUAACGGUCCUAAGGUAGCGAAAUUCCUUGUCGGGUAAGUUCCGACCUGCACGAAUGGCGUAAUGAUGGCCAGGCUGUCUCCACCCGAGACUCAGUGAAAUUGAACUCGCUGUGAAGAUGCAGUGUACCCGCGGCAAGACGGAAAGACCCCGUGAACCUUUACUAUAGCUUGACACUGAACAUUGAGCCUUGAUGUGUAGGAUAGGUGGGAGGCUUUGAAGUGUGGACGCCAGUCUGCAUGGAGCCGACCUUGAAAUACCACCCUUUAAUGUUUGAUGUUCUAACGUGGACCCGUGAUCCGGGUUGCGGACAGUGUCUGGUGGGUAGUUUGACUGGGGCGGUCUCCUCCUAAAGAGUAACGGAGGAGCACGAAGGUUGGCUAAUCCUGGUCGGACAUCAGGAGGUUAGUGCAAUGGCAUAAGCCAGCUUGACUGCGAGCGUGACGGCGCGAGCAGGUGCGAAAGCAGGUCAUAGUGAUCCGGUGGUUCUGAAUGGAAGGGCCAUCGCUCAACGGAUAAAAGGUACUCCGGGGAUAACAGGCUGAUACCGCCCAAGAGUUCAUAUCGACGGCGGUGUUUGGCACCUCGAUGUCGGCUCAUCACAUCCUGGGGCUGAAGUAGGUCCCAAGGGUAUGGCUGUUCGCCAUUUAAAGUGGUACGCGAGCUGGGUUUAGAACGUCGUGAGACAGUUCGGUCCCUAUCUGCCGUGGGCGCUGGAGAACUGAGGGGGGCUGCUCCUAGUACGAGAGGACCGGAGUGGACGCAUCACUGGUGUUCGGGUUGUCAUGCCAAUGGCACUGCCCGGUAGCUAAAUGCGGAAGAGAUAAGUGCUGAAAGCAUCUAAGCACGAAACUUGCCCCGAGAUGAGUUCUCCCUGACCCUUUAAGGGUCCUGAAGGAACGUUGAAGACGACGACGUUGAUAGGCCGGGUGUGUAAGCGCAGCGAUGCGUUGAGCUAACCGGUACUAAUGAACCGUGAGGCUUAACCU
Molecule: ribosomal RNA, 2901 nt
Filed under: Escherichia coli B95
Lineage: Bacteria; Pseudomonadati; Pseudomonadota; Gammaproteobacteria; Enterobacterales; Enterobacteriaceae
Description: bacterial LSU rRNA
Rfam family: Bacterial large subunit ribosomal RNA
Source: RNAcentral